CGUUGUCCUUGUAACAGGGAUCCAGCAGGGUGGCCACCCAGUAAUCAGCACAAGUUAUAAUGUGGGCAACUCGAAAGUCGUUGCGCAGGAACUUUAGUGACUCUAGAUAACCUCGGCCCGAUCGCACGUCCCCAUGACGGCGAUGACGCAUUCGGCUGUUUGCCCUAUCAACUUUCUAUGGUACUUUCUGUGUCUACCAUGGUGACCACGGGUAAUGGGGAAUCAGGGUUUGAUUCUGGAGAGGGAGCCUGAGAAACGGAUACCACAUCCAAGGAAGGCAGCAGGAGCGCAAAUUACCCACUCCCGGCGCGGGGAGGUAGUGACG
This 325-nucleotide ribosomal RNA is filed under the name Pelobates cultripes (western spadefoot toad). It matches the Rfam family "Eukaryotic small subunit ribosomal RNA", at positions 170 to 472 of the family's 1831-position model. The record is from RNAcentral. Lineage: Eukaryota; Metazoa; Chordata; Amphibia; Anura; Pelobatidae.